RNAcentral lists this ribosomal RNA (576 nucleotides) under uncultured bacterium. Its description in RNAcentral is "bacterial SSU rRNA". It matches the Rfam family "Bacterial small subunit ribosomal RNA", at positions 41 to 614 of the family's 1533-position model. The record is from RNAcentral.
GGCAGGCCUAACACAUGCAAGUCGAACGGUAACAUUUCUAGCUUGCUAGAAGAUGACGAGUGGCGGACGGGUGAGUAAUGCUUGGGAACUUGCCUUUGCGAGGGGGAUAACAGUUGGAAACGACUGCUAAUACCGCAUAAUGUCUUCGGACCAAACGGGGCUCCGGCUCCGGCGCAGAGAGAGGCCCAAGUGAGAUUAGCUAGUUGGUGAGGUAAAGGCUUACCAAGGCAACGAUCUCUAGCUGUUCUGAGAGGAAGAUCAGCCACACUGGGACUGAGACACGGCCCAGACUCCUACGGGAGGCAGCAGUGGGGAAUAUUGCACAAUGGGGGAAACCCUGAUGCAGCCAUGCCGCGUGUGUGAAGAAGGCCUUCGGGUUGUAAAGCACUUUCAGUUGUGAGGAAAAGUUAGUAGUUAAUACCUGCUAGCCGUGACGUUAACAACAGAAGAAGCACCGGCUAACUCCGUGCCAGCAGCCGCGGUAAUACGGAGGGUGCGAGCGUUAAUCGGAAUUACUGGGCGUAAAGCGCACGCAGGCGGUUUGUUAAGCUAGAUGUGAAAGCCCCGGGCUCAACC